RNAcentral lists this ribosomal RNA (427 nucleotides) under uncultured Luteolibacter sp. RNAcentral's name for it is "bacterial SSU rRNA". It matches the Rfam family "Bacterial small subunit ribosomal RNA", at positions 353 to 772 of the family's 1533-position model. The record is from RNAcentral. Lineage: Bacteria; Pseudomonadati; Verrucomicrobiota; Verrucomicrobiia; Verrucomicrobiales; Verrucomicrobiaceae.
AGUCGAGAAUAAUUCACAAUGGGGGCAACCCUGAUGGUGCAACGCCGCGUGGAGGAUGACGGUCUUCGGAUUGUAAACUCCUGUCAUCUGGGAGUAAGACCUGGACGUUAACAGCGUACAGGGUUGAUAGUACCAGAAGAGGAAGGGACGGCUAACUUCGUGCCAGCAGCCGCGGUAAUACGAAGGUCCCAAGCGUUGUUCGGAAUCACUGGGCGUAAAGGGAGCGUAGGCUGUGUGGUAAGUCAGAUGUGAAAUCCCGGGGCUCAACCCCGGAACUGCAUCCGAUACUGCCGCACUUGAGUAAUGGAGGGGUAGCUGGAAUUCACGGUGUAGCAGUGAAAUGCGUGGAUAUCGUGAGGAACACUCGUGGCGAAAGCGAGCUACUGGACAUUUACUGACGCUGAGGCUCGAAGGCCAGGGUAGCGAA